ACUAAGCGUACACGGUGGAUGCCCUGGCAGUCAGAGGCGAUGAAGGACGUGCUAAUCUGCGAUAAGCGUCGGUAAGGUGAUAUGAACCGUUAUAACCGGCGAUUUCCGAAUGGGGAAACCCAGUGUGAUUCGUCACACUAUCAUUAACUGAAUCCAUAGGUUAAUGAGGCGAACCGGGGGAACUGAAACAUCUAAGUACCCCGAGGAAAAGAAAUCAACCGAGAUUCCCCAGUAGCGGCGAGCGAACGGGGAGGAGCCCAGAGCCUGAAUCAGUGUGUGUGUUAGUGGAAGCGUCUGGAAAGGCGCGCGAUACAGGGUGACAGCCCCGUACACAAAAAUGCACAUGCUGUGAGCUCGAUGAGUAGGGCGGGACACGUGGUAUCCUGUCUGAAUAUGGGGGGACCAUCCUCCAAGGCUAAAUACUCCUGACUGACCGAUAGUGAACCAGUACCGUGAGGGAAAGGCGAAAAGAACCCCGGCGAGGGGAGUGAAAAAGAACCUGAAACCGUGUACGUACAAGCAGUGGGAGCACAGAGCAAUCUGUGUGACUGCGUACCUUUUGUAUAAUGGGUCAGCGACUUAUAUUCUGUAGCAAGGUUAACCGAAUAGGGGAGCCGAAGGGAAACCGAGUCUUAACUGGGCGUUAAGUUGCAGGGUAUAGACCCGAAACCCGGUGAUCUAGCCAUGGGCAGGUUGAAGGUUGGGUAACACUAACUGGAGGACCGAACCGACUAAUGUUGAAAAAUUAGCGGAUGACUUGUGGCUGGGGGUGAAAGGCCAAUCAAACCGGGAGAUAGCUGGUUCUCCCCGAAAGCUAUUUAGGUAGCGCCUCGUGAAUUCAUCUCCGGGGGUAGAGCACUGUUUCGGCAAGGGGGUCAUCCCGACUUACCAACCCGAUGCAAACUGCGAAUACCGGAGAAUGUUAUCACGGGAGACACACGGCGGGUGCUAACGUCCGUCGUGAAGAGGGAAACAACCCAGACCGCCAGCUAAGGUCCCAAAGUCAUGGUUAAGUGGGAAACGAUGUGGGAAGGCCCAGACAGCCAGGAUGUUGGCUUAGAAGCAGCCAUCAUUUAAAGAAAGCGUAAUAGCUCACUGGUCGAGUCGGCCUGCGCGGAAGAUGUAACGGGGCUAAACCAUGCACCGAAGCUGCGGCAGCGACACUAUGUGUUGUUGGGUAGGGGAGCGUUCUGUAAGCCUGUGAAGGUGUGCUGUGAGGCAUGCUGGAGGUAUCAGAAGUGCGAAUGCUGACAUAAGUAACGAUAAAGCGGGUGAAAAGCCCGCUCGCCGGAAGACCAAGGGUUCCUGUCCAACGUUAAUCGGGGCAGGGUGAGUCGACCCCUAAGGCGAGGCCGAAAGGCGUAGUCGAUGGGAAACAGGUUAAUAUUCCUGUACUUGGUGUUACUGCGAAGGGGGGACGGAGAAGGCUAUGUUGGCCGGGCGACGGUUGUCCCGGUUUAAGCGUGUAGGCUGGUUUUCCAGGCAAAUCCGGAAAAUCAAGGCUGAGGCGUGAUGACGAGGCACUACGGUGCUGAAGCAACAAAUGCCCUGCUUCCAGGAAAAGCCUCUAAGCAUCAGGUAACAUCAAAUCGUACCCCAAACCGACACAGGUGGUCAGGUAGAGAAUACCAAGGCGCUUGAGAGAACUCGGGUGAAGGAACUAGGCAAAAUGGUGCCGUAACUUCGGGAGAAGGCACGCUGAUAUGUAGGUGAAGCGACUUGCUCGUGGAGCUGAAAUCAGUCGAAGAUACCAGCUGGCUGCAACUGUUUAUUAAAAACACAGCACUGUGCAAACACGAAAGUGGACGUAUACGGUGUGACGCCUGCCCGGUGCCGGAAGGUUAAUUGAUGGGGUUAGCGCAAGCGAAGCUCUUGAUCGAAGCCCCGGUAAACGGCGGCCGUAACUAUAACGGUCCUAAGGUAGCGAAAUUCCUUGUCGGGUAAGUUCCGACCUGCACGAAUGGCGUAAUGAUGGCCAGGCUGUCUCCACCCGAGACUCAGUGAAAUUGAACUCGCUGUGAAGAUGCAGUGUACCCGCGGCAAGACGGAAAGACCCCGUGAACCUUUACUAUAGCUUGACACUGAACAUUGAGCCUUGAUGUGUAGGAUAGGUGGGAGGCUUGGAAGUGUGGACGCCAGUCUGCAUGGAGCCGACCUUGAAAUACCACCCUUUAAUGUUUGAUGUUCUAACGUUGACCCGUAAUCCGGGUUGCGGACAGUGUCUGGUGGGUAGUUUGACUGGGGCGGUCUCCUCCUAAAGAGUAACGGAGGAGCACGAAGGUUGGCUAAUCCUGGUCGGACAUCAGGAGGUUAGUGCAAUGGCAUAAGCCAGCUUGACUGCGAGCGUGACGGCGCGAGCAGGUGCGAAAGCAGGUCAUAGUGAUCCGGUGGUUCUGAAUGGAAGGGCCAUCGCUCAACGGAUAAAAGGUACUCCGGGGAUAACAGGCUGAUACCGCCCAAGAGUUCAUAUCGACGGCGGUGUUUGGCACCUCGAUGUCGGCUCAUCACAUCCUGGGGCUGAAGUAGGUCCCAAGGGUAUGGCUGUUCGCCAUUUAAAGUGGUACGCGAGCUGGGUUUAGAACGUCGUGAGACAGUUCGGUCCCUAUCUGCCGUGGGCGCUGGAGAACUGAGGGGGGCUGCUCCUAGUACGAGAGGACCGGAGUGGACGCAUCACUGGUGUUCGGGUUGUCAUGCCAAUGGCACUGCCCGGUAGCUAAAUGCGGAAGAGAUAAGUGCUGAAAGCAUCUAAGCACGAAACUUGCCCCGAGAUGAGUUCUCCCUGACUCCUUGAGAGUCCUGAAGGAACGUUGAAGACGACGACGUUGAUAGGCCGGGUGUGUAAGCGCAGCGAUGCGUUGAGCUAACCGGUACUAAUGAACCGUGAGGCUUAACC
Molecule: ribosomal RNA, 2893 nt
Filed under: Escherichia coli
Lineage: Bacteria; Pseudomonadati; Pseudomonadota; Gammaproteobacteria; Enterobacterales; Enterobacteriaceae
Description: bacterial LSU rRNA
Rfam family: Bacterial large subunit ribosomal RNA
Source: RNAcentral